UACAGAGGUCUCAAGCGUUGUUCGGAUUCAUUGGGCGUAAAGGGUGCGUAGGUGGCGAGGUAAGUCAGGUGUGAAAUUUCGGAGCUUAACUCCGAAACUGCAUUUGAUACUGCCUUGCUUGAGGACUGGAGAGGAGACUGGAAUUCACGGUGUAGCAGUGAAAUGCGUAGAGAUCGUGAGGAAGACCAGUGGCGAAGGCGGGUCUCUGGACAGUUCCUGACACUGAGGCACGAAGGCCAGGGGAGCAAACGGG
This 253-nucleotide ribosomal RNA is filed under the name uncultured bacterium. RNAcentral describes it as "partial 16S ribosomal RNA". It matches the Rfam family "Bacterial small subunit ribosomal RNA", at positions 524 to 776 of the family's 1533-position model. The record is from RNAcentral.